RNAcentral lists this ribosomal RNA (237 nucleotides) under uncultured bacterium. Its description in RNAcentral is "partial 16S ribosomal RNA". It matches the Rfam family "Bacterial small subunit ribosomal RNA", at positions 99 to 334 of the family's 1533-position model. The record is from RNAcentral.
CGAACGGGUGGAGUAACGCGUGAAUAACCUGACUCAAAGAGGGGGAGUAACAACGGGAAACUGUUGCUAAUACCGCAUGAGACCACAACACCGCAUGAUGAAGGGGUCAAAGAUUUAUCGCUUUGAGAGGGGUUCGCGUCCCAUUAGGUAGUUGGAGGGGUAACGGCCCACCAAGCCAACGAUGGGUAGCCGAGCUGAGAGGCUGAUCGGCCACACUGGAACUGAGACACGGUCCAG